Molecule: long non-coding RNA, 1104 nt
Organism: Lycium barbarum (goji berry)
Lineage: Eukaryota; Viridiplantae; Streptophyta; Magnoliopsida; Solanales; Solanaceae
Exons: 2
Source: RefSeq, a predicted model, not a curated record
GUUGAAAAGUGCUCGAAGCCUUUCAUUCGUUGGGAGAAAGAACGAAUGAAGACAAGGGAAGUCUCGUUCGAAUGCCUGAUAAAUGCUGGCAAUCAAGCCGUCGCCCGGGCUGGCUUUCUCUGUAAUGAGGGUUUGUAUAGGAUGAUCGGGGAGAAGGCCGCCCUUGCCCAGGAAAGUGACUCAACUGUGGAGAAAAUGCUGGCUGCCGAGUCGAAAUUAGCUCGGGUAACAGAAUUGGAGACCCAACUUUGACAGAUUGAAGAGGAUAAAAGAGCCUUCCGUGAGCAAGCCACCAUUCUGUAAGACAAGGCUGGAGACUGGAAGAAAAGGUGGAGCAUGGCCAUCGAUAUUGUUUCUGAGCUGAUGACCCGGGUGUCUACACUGGAAGUUGAUGUGCGUUCCCUGGAGGGGGUUUCUGAGGCUAAGAACGCCGAGCUUGCCGCUGUCCGUAAUGAGAAUGAAAAACUGAAAGAGCAACUGGAUGUGGUCAAGGCUCAGAUUCUUGAGCACCGGGAUGACAACCUGAAACUUUCGGUAUCCAUAACGGCGCUUCGGAGCGAAAACGCUGAACUAACCCUAGCUGCAACAUGGACAAGGCUAAAUUCCAGUCUGUUGUUGACAACCGCAAGCUUGCCCUGAUCUGGAUCUCCUAUCAAAUGAGAAGGUAAACCCUCGAACCUGUAAGGGACGGGCGAAUUGGUGACAUCGGAGCUGAGAUCGAGAAGGCUCGCCUGUCGGAGCAGAGGUCAGUGGAGUCCCCAGAAGAAGGUAACCAGGACGAGGGAAAUGAAGAUGAUGCCUUCGUUGAUGAAGAGGACAAUGAAAAGAAUGUGUCGGCUGCAAGCCAAACUCUCCCCUUGAAAGUGAAUUCCGAUCCCUCUGCAAUGUCUUUGGGUGCUUCUGGGUCUCCUCAGCUUCCAUUUUCAGCCCUAUAACUAUAAGAUUUUAACUCCUGUAGCUGUUCAUUUUUUGAACUUUCUUGUUUAAAAAGCCUUGAUGGACCAUAGAAUCGGAUAUGUUGGCUCGCAGGCUUUGUAAUUAUCUUUUGAUCCCGGGCCCUAUGAACCUGGAGUGACCUUUUAAUUGAUGAUCCUUUGUUCUGCA